RNAcentral lists this ribosomal RNA (252 nucleotides) under uncultured bacterium. RNAcentral describes it as "partial 16S ribosomal RNA". It matches the Rfam family "Bacterial small subunit ribosomal RNA", at positions 524 to 776 of the family's 1533-position model. The record is from RNAcentral.
UACGUAGGGACCAAGCGUUGUCCGGAAUCAUUGGGCGUAAAGCGCGCGUAGGUGGCCAUUUAAGUCCGCUGUGAAAGUCAAAGGCUCAACCUUUGAAAGCCGGUGGAUACUGGAUGGCUAGAGUACGGAAGAGGCGAGUGGAAUUCCUGGUGUAGCGGUGGAAUGCGCAGAUAUCAGGAGGAACACCAAUAGCGAAGGCAGCUCGCUGGACGUUACUGACACUGAGGCGCGAAAGCGUGGGGAGCGAACAGG